RNAcentral lists this non-coding RNA (172 nucleotides) under Bacillus sp. (in: firmicutes). The record is from RNAcentral. Lineage: Bacteria; Bacillati; Bacillota; Bacilli; Caryophanales; Bacillaceae.
UGAAAUAUUGAUGAGUUUAGUGCAAGUAUUGCUUAAAAGGGAAUCUGGUAUAAUCCAGAACUGUCCCCGCAACUGUAAUGUGGACGAAACGAAUAGCCACUGUUCGAAAGAAUGGGAAGGUCGGAGUAGGUUGAAACAAAGUCAGUAGACCUGCUAAAUUCAUCCUUGUUCA